RNAcentral lists this ribosomal RNA (394 nucleotides) under uncultured bacterium. RNAcentral's name for it is "partial 16S ribosomal RNA". It matches the Rfam family "Bacterial small subunit ribosomal RNA", at positions 362 to 774 of the family's 1533-position model. The record is from RNAcentral.
UAUUGCACAAUGGAGGAAACUCGGAUGCAGCGACGCCGCGUGAACGAUGAAGGCUUUNNNGUCGUNANGUUCUGUCCUUGGGGNCGNNAAUGACGGUACCCAAGGAGGAAGCCCCGGCUAACUACGUGCCAGCAGCCGCGGUAAUACGUAGGGGGCAAGAGUUGUUCGGAUUUAUUGGGCGUAAAGGGUGCGUAGGCGGCCAUUUAAGUCAGAUGUGAAAGAUCACGGCUCAACCGUGGUAAGCAUUUGAAACUGAAAGGCUUGAGUUAAGGAGAGGAAAGUGGAAUUCCUAGUGUAGCGGUGAAAUGCGUAGAUAUUAGGAGGAAUACCAGUGGCGAAGGCGACUUUCUGGACUUAUACUGACGCUGAGGUACGAAAGCGUGGGGAGCGAACA